Falco peregrinus (peregrine falcon) is the source of this 3249-nucleotide RNA transcript. It is a transcript of the gene named fetal and adult testis expressed 1, with no coding region annotated. NCBI's taxonomy places the organism in Eukaryota, Metazoa, Chordata, Aves, Falconiformes, Falconidae. The transcript has 7 exons. The record is from RefSeq and is a predicted model, not a curated record.
GCCUCCAUUCUCCACUGAGCAGAGAUUUGCUCUGGCACAGCUUGGCACUUGGAUGGCUGCCGUCCCGCUGCCAGCCGGGCUCGGGCGGUGGCAUGGGGACACAUGAGCCAUGGGCAGCAGCGCUGGGGUGCCGAAGGAGCUGGGCUGAGCCCCCACCUUGCAGCCUGGGGUGUGCAAGCAAUCUGAGCAAGUCAACUGAAAAGAUGUGGCCAUUUUGGGGACUGGACCUGAACCGAGCCCGCUGUGACCUGCUCUUCACAGAAGCCAUCAAUCAAAGGAUGCAGGUUCCCAACAGGCUGAAGGUAGCAGACAGCCUCAGCCCUGUGGACGAGGAGCCAGUGACAGAGGAUGGCUCCCCUUCCUUUCAGAUGCACAUCCCUGAUAGGAUUUCUCUUGCAGAAACAGAUGCUGGUUUGAGGCCCAACCUGCAGAAGAAGGUCCCCUCUGUUGUGGUGCACAUGUCCCCGGAUGCCUCUGGGCAGCCCACCCACCUCGAGGAGCUCCCUUUUCUGCAUGUAGCCAACAGAUCAAGCUCCCAGAAACGCAAACGAUUGGGCCACCACAGCAGCAGGUCACGGCGGGAGAGGACUCCAAAUGACUGUGCCCAGCUGGCCUUGCACAGCCCAGGCCAGCACCACGAGCGGCUGGAUGCGUGCCCCCUGCCUGUGCGCAGUGCCCCUCUCCCUGUCCUUACGGAGAUGGGCAGGAUCUACUCCAUGCAGAACAUCUUCAGGACCAUGUACCUCCUGGGCCAGGUGCUCUUCCACCGUGUCUGGGACUCUCUGCAAGGCUCAGUGCCAUCCAGGUGACUUCGGCUUCUGUUGAGCCACCUCCCUGUCAUUCUGCAGGGACUUGCCUUUGCCUCGCUAAGGCGUGAGCCAGGCAUGAGCUCCGUGAACCGCAGGCUGCGCAGUGCAGGAGCAGGCUGCACGCCUGUCCCAGGCUCUCGCUCUCGCCUGUCCUGUCCAGCAGCUCUGGGUGCCUGGCCCAGGAGUGCUUGGUGCAGCCAGCCUGGGUGCAUCCUGCUAACCCAGCCCAGCUGGUUUCUCCUGCUUAGCUUAACACCGGUCCCCUGGGCACCCUGAGGGAUCUAACACCGUCUGUGAUGUUGCUGGGAUUUCAGCUGCUCUUCACUGCUAAGCAAGUGCUAAUUUUUAUGCAUGCCUUGGUAGCUCGAUGGAGAGAAAUGUGUGAAGGGAAUCAAAAUCUAGAAAAGACAGCCUGACCCAGGUCCUGUCCCUGAGACACCUUCUCCUUCAGGCUCCCAGUACCCUUGGCUGUGUCUUGGUUGAUCUUAAUUAACAUUUUCCACGAACUGGCUCCACCAAGACACUCAUCUUGUAGCUGAUGCCGCUGGCCAGGGGCCAGUAUGGCCACGUGCUCACCGGAGCAGGUAUGCAACAAACUCGAGUCUCUCCAGAUGUGCUGGAGCAACUAUCUCCACCGUGCUCUUAUGUGUGCAAGUGCAGUAAAUUUAACACAUUCAAAGACAACUUAUAGCCUUAAGGUGUCCCCACUGCUCAAAGGCUGCUGAGUACCUGGAGGAACAUCCACAUACUUCUAAUUCUCCUUGAGCAAAGCCUCCAGGCAGAAAGGGAGGAGAGUGAGCAUCCAUCUUCGGUUCCCUCGGUGGCACAUCCUACCUUCCCUCCCCAGCUGGCAGCAGAGCUGGCUUCUGCCUGUGGUGUCCCUGCUUUUAACCAUAGUAGGCUGACUGUCUUCAGAUAGCGCUUUUUUUUUUUUAAAAAAAUAAUUAUUUUCUUGUAAUGAAGCCUGGACAUACUAGCAGGUCUGGUUAGUGGCUAUGUAAGACCUUCUCCCAUCAGCAGCAGAGGAGGUUUAGGCCACGGUACCACGAGAGGUGGUAGCUUGUGGAGCUGCUGUAAUGCGGUGGGGUGAGUCCUGGGCCUCUCCCCAGGUCUCCAUCUCCCUUUGAAGCCAGCCACCUUGCAGUGCCUCUUCUUGGUACUUCAGAUGCAUAUAGUAUCUCUUCAAUAGGGCAACUUUGUACCCCUAUGCAACAAUAAAAAUAAAAAAAAAAUCACUGAGCUGACUUUUUUUUGUCCUGAAAUUUUAGUAAAGAAAGUAUGAUCUAGGACAGAGACUGGAAUAUUUGCCUGACCGUGACCUCUUGAAGGGUAUGAAUCAUUGGAAGGUAAUUUCUAGCCUGUACUCUAAGGGGUGUUCACCUGCAUCAACAGAUUUUUCAGUCAAAAGCUGCAGGAUAUGUCCUUUUUUAAUGGCUCUGUGUUGGGGGAAAUUGGAUUUUCUUUCUGUUGUUACUUUCAUUUUACACUGCAGCUGCUCUACGUGGAGGUAUUAUCUCGCAAAUGUGUUUUCAGUGAGAGAUUCACUGAAUCUCCCCAUGCUGUUCUGGCUGUCUUCAGCGAGAUCAACAUCAUGUUGCAAACAGGAAUAAAUACCCUCUCCUUCCCCAAGGUCUCCGAAGGAGCAGUGUCAGACACUGAUUAACCCAUAUGGUGUCAGCGAGUGCCCAUGUGAGUUGUCGGUGUGCAUAGGGGAGUUUUGGUUAUAGAAGAACCGAUGUAGGGCUGGGCUAUGAUGAUAGGAACAACAGACCGAAUGUGGCAAUUUUUGUUUUUCUCACUGUAGCUCAGCGCUGUGGGCCCUGCAGCAAGGCUGCGUCUCUAGGGGAUGCCCUGGAGAUCCGUGGUCUGUGUUGCCUCUGCCAGUGCAGCAGCUAAUCCCGAUGGUGGCCUCUUUGUUUCCAGGGAUCGAAGAAAGUGGUGCAUGCUUGGGUUGCUUGUUUACAUUUCAAGUUGUGGGUAAAAUCUGCUAUAAGAGCAAGAAGUGAUACCAUUUUUGUUGGUGGGUGGGGAAAGUGAGUUUGUGGUAUCUGGAAAAUACUGGAGAGGAACAAAUCCUUGUCUCGGCAAACACAGGACCCUUUUCUGCUGGCUGAUGCACUUGCUCAGAUAGUUCCCCCCAGCUGAUGGCCGCUUCCCAGCAGCGGGAUGCUCACCUGCUGGUGUAAAUGAGAUCAUCCCUCCAUUUCGGCAUUGGCCCUGUGAUACGUAUUUACCUGACUGGCUCUAAAGGUGAUUUAUCCAACCCUCAAAGAAUUCCUCUGACUAUAGAGAAUGGAUACUUGCUCCCAGGAGGCUGGCCCAGCUCCAGAGAGUGCCUUGGAGGAGGUCGGGGUGGCUGAGAUGGCAGCAAUGAGGAAGCAGUUGAUGAAGAUCUCAGGGAGGCUCCGUGUGUUGGAGGAGCAGUGCAAUGCCUGGCGGC